AUGUUGGCGCAGGCCCAGAUGCACGCGAUGCUGGACCAGCUGAUGGGCACCUCCCGGGAUGGAGACACUACUCGUCAGUGAAUCAAAUUCAGUGAUGACAGAGUAUGCAAGAGUCACUUUCUCAACUGUUGCCCCAAUGAUGUGCUUUCUGGAACUAGAAUGGAUCUUGGAGAAUGUCUGAAAGUCCACGACCUGGCUUUAAGAGCAGAUUAUGAAAUUGCAUCCAAAGAACAAGACUUUUUCUUUGAACUUGAUGCCAUGGAUCAUCUGCAGUCAUUCGUUGCAUAUUGUGAUAGAAGAAUAAAAGUGGCUAAGAAAAGGUUAGCAGAAACUCAAGAAGAGAUUAGUGCUGAAGUAGCAGCAAAGGCAGAACGUGUUCAUGAGUUAAAUGAAGAAAUUGGAAAACUGUUAGCCAAGGUGGAACAAUUAGGAGCUGCAGGGAAUGUGGAAGAAUCCCAGAAAGUCAUGGAUGAAAUAGAGAAAGCACCGGCAAAGAAGAGAGAAGCAGAGGAAGUUUAUCAGAAUUCUAUGCCAGCUUCCAGUUUCCAACAGCAGAAGCUUCAAGUCUGUGAAGUCUGCUCUGCCUAUUUAGGUCUUCAUGAUAAUGACAGACGAUUGGCUGAUCAUUUGGGGGGUAAACUACACCUGGGAUUUAUUGAAAUAAAAGAGAAGCUUGAAGAAUUAAAGAGAGUGGUAGCUGAGAAGCAGGAGAAAAGAAACCAAGCCUGAAACGAAGAGAAGAAAGGGAGAGAGAAGAAAGGGAGAAGCUGAGGAGGUCCCGAACACAUAGCAAGAAUCCCAAAAGAUCCAGGUCCAGAGAGCAUCGCAGACAUUGAUCUCGCUCCACGUCAUGGGAGUGCAAGAGGGGAACUCAAUCCAAAUCUCGGGAGAAACGCCAUCGCCACAGGUCCCGCUCCAGCAGCCGCAGUAGCAGCCGCAGCCACCAGAGAAGUUGGCAUAGUUCUAGAGAUAGGAGCAGAGAACACUCUAAGAGGAGAUCCUCAAAAGAAAGAUUCAGAGACCAAGACUUAGCAUCAUGUGACAGAGACAGGAGUUCAAGAGACAGAUCACCUCGUGACAGAGAUCAAAAAGAUAAGAAGCGGUCCUAUGAGAGUGCUAAUGGCAGAUCAGAAGACAGGCAGAGCUCUGAAGAGUGUGAAGCAGGGGAGAUCUAACUAGCGGUGUACAUAUCUUCAAUCCUUAAGCUUCCCGUGGAGUUACAUACAUUGUUUAGUUUACAGCUGUUCAGGGUGACAGUGAGCAGAUCCCAACACCGAGCCAGCUAGGCUAGAUGGACAGUAUCUAACUUGAUCUGAACUGAACCUGUUUUCCUUGUUGAAGCCUAAAACGGCAUCCAUAGUUUCUGGUGAAACUAUAAUACCAUUCUGAAAGUACCGUUUUAUAUAAUAAGACACUGAUCUCUUUAUUCUUUCAAGUAGGAGUGAUAGUGAACAAACUGUGUUAUUUGCCUUGGGAUUUUCUGAACAUUUGUAAAAUGCUGUCUGCCUUUCUAGUCCAAACAGCAGCAGUUUGGGAAUUGUUCUUUUUAAUUAUUCUUCUUCUGACUUGUAUCCCUGAAUACCUGCACCCUCCAAUCAUUAGAGAAAAGGGACAGGGAAACAAUAUAGCUUCUGUUCUAAGGUUAUAUUCCCAUUAUUAAGUUGCUGAUUACAGUUCAGAGCAUUCAUACUGGAAUGUGUGCUGGAGAAAUUGAUAAU
Nycticebus coucang (slow loris) is the source of this 1718-nucleotide RNA transcript. It is a transcript of the gene named putative RNA-binding protein Luc7-like 2, with no coding region annotated. The record is from RefSeq and is a predicted model, not a curated record. The transcript has a single exon. NCBI's taxonomy places the organism in Eukaryota, Metazoa, Chordata, Mammalia, Primates, Lorisidae.